GAUGAACGCUGGCGGCGUGCUUAACACAUGCAAGUCGAACGAUGAAGCCCAGCUUGCUGGGUGGAUUAGUGGCGAACGGGUGAGUAACACGUGAGUAACCUGCCCUUAACUCUGGGAUAAGCCUGGGAAACUGGGUCUAAUAUCGGACAGGAGCGUACACCGCAUGGUGGGUGUUGGAAAGAUUGAUCGGUUUUGGAUGGACUCGCGGCCUAUCAGCUUGUUGGUGAGGUAAUGGCUCACCAAGGCGACGACGGGUAGCCGGCCUGAGAGGGUGACCGGCCACACUGGGACUGAGACACGGCCCAGACUCCUACGGGAAGCAGCAGUGGGGAAUAUUGCACAAUGGGCGCAAGCCUGAUGCAGCGACGCCGCGUGAGGGAUGACGGACUUCGGGUUGUAAACCUCUUUCAGUAGGGAAGAAGCGAAAGUGACGGUACCUGCAGAAGAAGCACCGGCUAACUACGUG
RNAcentral lists this ribosomal RNA (466 nucleotides) under uncultured bacterium. RNAcentral's name for it is "partial 16S ribosomal RNA". It matches the Rfam family "Bacterial small subunit ribosomal RNA", at positions 28 to 507 of the family's 1533-position model. The record is from RNAcentral.